AGCCGCCGCGGUAACACCGGCAGCUCUAGUGGUAACAAUUUUAUUGGGCCUAAAGCGUCCGUAGCCGGUUUAAUAAGUCUCUGGUGAAAUCCUGUAGCUUAACUGUGGGAAUUGCUGGAGAUACUAUUAGACUUGAGACCGGGAGAGGUUAGAGGUACUCCCAGGGUAGAGGUGAAAUUCUGUAAUCCUGGGAGGACCGCCUGUUGCGAAGGCGUCUAACUGGAACGGUUCUGACGGUGAGGGACGAAAGUUAGGGGCGCGAACCGGAUUAGAUACCCGGGUAGUCCUAACUGUAAACGAUGCGGACUUGGUGUUGGGUGGCUUUGAGCUGCUCCAGUGCCGAAGGGAAGCUGUUAAGUCCGCCGCCUGGGAAGUACGGUCGCAAGACUGAAACUUAAGGAAUUGGCGGGGGAGCACCACAACGCGUGGAGCCUGCGGUUUAAUUGGAUUCAACGCCGGACAUCUCACCAGAGGCGACAGCUGUAUGAUAGCCAGGUUGAUGACUUUGCUUGACUAGCUGAGUAGUGGUGCAUGG
Molecule: ribosomal RNA, 535 nt
Filed under: uncultured archaeon
Lineage: Archaea
Description: bacterial SSU rRNA
Rfam family: Archaeal small subunit ribosomal RNA
Source: RNAcentral